UCCACAUGAAGUUACGGAAGUCUUGAUCGA
This 30-nucleotide non-coding RNA is filed under the name Homo sapiens (human). The record is from RNAcentral. Lineage: Eukaryota; Metazoa; Chordata; Mammalia; Primates; Hominidae.